RNAcentral lists this ribosomal RNA (460 nucleotides) under uncultured bacterium. RNAcentral's name for it is "partial 16S ribosomal RNA". It matches the Rfam family "Bacterial small subunit ribosomal RNA", at positions 338 to 795 of the family's 1533-position model. The record is from RNAcentral.
CCUACGGGAGGCAGCAGUGAGGAAUAUUGGUCAAUGGGCGCGAGCCUGAACCAGCCAAGUAGCGUGAAGGAUGACUGCCCUACGGGUUGUAAACUUCUUUUGUACAAGAAUAAAGUGAGGCACGUGUGCCUUUUUGAAUGUACUUUAUGAAUAAGGAUCGGCUAACUCCGGUCCAGCCGCCGCGGUAAUACGGAGGAUCCGAGCGUUAUCCGGAUUUAUUUGGGUUAAAGGGUGCGUUGAUGGGUUGUUAAGUCAGUUGUGAAAUUUUGCGGCUCAACCGUAAAAUUGCAAUUGAUACUGGCAGCCUUGAGUACAGUUGAGGUAGGCGGAAUGCGUGGUGUAGCGGUGAAAUGCUUAGAUAUCACGAAGAACUCCGAUUGCGAAGGCAGCUUACUAAACUGCCACUGACAUUGAUGCUCGAAAGUGUGGGUAUCAAACAGGAUUAGAUACCCUGGUAGUC